GACGAACGCUGGCGGCGCGCCUAAUACAUGCAAGUAGAACGCUGAAGGAGGAGCUUGCUCUUCUGGAUGAGUUGCGAACGGGUGAGUAACGCGUAGGUAACCUGCCUGGUAGCGGGGGAUAACUAUUGGAAACGAUAGCUAAUACCGCAUAAUAGCAGUUGUUGCAUGACAGCUGUUUGAAAGGUGCAAUUGCACCACUACCAGAUGGACCUGCGUUGUAUUAGCUAGUUGGUGGGGUAACGGCCCACCAAGGCGACGAUACAUAGCCGACCUGAGAGGGUGAUCGGCCACACUGGGACUGAGACACGGCCCAGACUCCUACGGGAGGCAGCAGUAGGGAAUCUUCGGCAAUGGACGAAAGUCUGACCGAGCAACGCCGCGUGAGUGAAGAAGGUUUUCGGAUCGUAAAGCUCUGUUGUAAGAGAAGAACGAGUGUGAGAGUGGAAAGUUCACACUG
This 457-nucleotide ribosomal RNA is filed under the name Streptococcus mitis. RNAcentral's name for it is "bacterial SSU rRNA". It matches the Rfam family "Bacterial small subunit ribosomal RNA", at positions 28 to 471 of the family's 1533-position model. Lineage: Bacteria; Bacillati; Bacillota; Bacilli; Lactobacillales; Streptococcaceae. The record is from RNAcentral.